This 459-nucleotide long non-coding RNA is filed under the name Cavia porcellus (domestic guinea pig). RNAcentral's name for it is "lncRNA (ENSCPOG00000037499.1)". Lineage: Eukaryota; Metazoa; Chordata; Mammalia; Rodentia; Caviidae. The record is from RNAcentral.
UUUUUAAAAAGAUGGAGGAUAAAUCACUUGUGGUUGCUUGAUUGUAGGCAUCUUUGCAGUUUGCAGAAUGUCAAGAUAUAAUACAGCGUCAGGAACAGGAAUCUGUACGCCUAAAACUUCAGCACACUUUGGAUGUAAAAGAGCUUCAGGGCCCUGGAUAUAACUCAGAUUCUUCAAUGAAGCCACGCCUGCUCCAGUCAGCCUCUGUUACCCGUGCCCAUUCUAAUGUACCGUCUUCCCAGUCUACAACAAGCUUCCUCUCACAUCACUCGGCAAAGACCGCGGCACUGAAAGAAGACCCUACGAAGGACCUGAAACAGCUUCUGCAGGAGCUGAGAAGCGUGAUCAAUGAGGAGCCGGCAGUGCAGCUGAGCAAGGCGGAGGACGAGGGGAGAGCGCCGUCACUCGGGGCCUUGUGCGUGGCUGUGUAGGGUGGCACUCAGGAGGGGAAGGCUGUGC